This 254-nucleotide ribosomal RNA is filed under the name uncultured bacterium. RNAcentral describes it as "partial 16S ribosomal RNA". It matches the Rfam family "Bacterial small subunit ribosomal RNA", at positions 524 to 776 of the family's 1533-position model. The record is from RNAcentral.
UACAUGGGGUGCAAACGUUGCUCGGAAUUAUUGGGCGUAAAGCGCGCGUAGGCGGUUACUUAAGUCGGAUGUGAAAGCCCUCGGCUUAACUGAGGAAGUGCACCCGAAACUGAGUAGCUAGAGUACGAAAGAGGGUCGCGGAAUUCCCGGUGUAGAGGUGAAAUUCGUAGAUAUCGGGAAGGAACACCGGUGGCGAAGGCGGCGACCUGGGUCGAGACUGACGCUGAGGCGCGAAAGCGUGGGGAGCAAACGGG